RNAcentral lists this ribosomal RNA (149 nucleotides) under uncultured Sphingomonas sp. Its description in RNAcentral is "partial 16S ribosomal RNA". It matches the Rfam family "Bacterial small subunit ribosomal RNA", at positions 27 to 527 of the family's 1533-position model. The record is from RNAcentral. Lineage: Bacteria; Pseudomonadati; Pseudomonadota; Alphaproteobacteria; Sphingomonadales; Sphingomonadaceae.
GCGGGGGAAACGCUUGCAGCGAGCCUGAUCCAGCAUGCCGCGUGAGUGAUGAAGGCCUUAGGGUUGUAAGCUCUUUUACCCGGGAUGAUAAUGACAGUACCGGGAGAAUAAGCUCCGGCUAACUCCGUGCCAGCAGCCGCGGUAAUACA